Molecule: unclassified non-coding RNA, 1130 nt
Filed under: Hevea brasiliensis (rubber tree)
Lineage: Eukaryota; Viridiplantae; Streptophyta; Magnoliopsida; Malpighiales; Euphorbiaceae
Source: RNAcentral
GGACUAUAAGAAGUCGGAAUGUAAAUUCAGCCAAGUGGGGCGGGUAAUCCGAGUUUACGAGAGUUGGGGCGCGUAGAAAAAUAGAUCUGAUGAGCCUCUGAAUCAAAAGGCAACGGAUAGGCCGUUUGAAGGCCGCUAAACGAUCGAUACGAUGUUUAGGGCUGAGAUCGGAAUCGAGAAAGGAGGUUUUCUUGGUCAGACUGUGGGUGGGGCACUUUCACAAAAGACUGAUCCUAUUCCUCUUCCUCAACGCCGGAUGCAUUGAAUUGAAACAAAAUCCUGUUUAUUUAAAUUCAAGUAGAAGUAGUUUCUUUGACUGCUUAUCCAGUAGCUGGUGAGACGAGUCAAAGUUGUUCGUGCUGUUCAAAUAGCUCUAGUUCUUUUUCCUUUUCUUUCUUAACUUCGUCAUCCUCAUCAGAAUCAUGUUCCUCAGAAAUGUGGAAGACUUUUUUAUCAUCUUCGAACAUGUGACUAUCUUGCUCGGGUACCUCAACCUUCUCGUCACACCCUAAGCCCGGCCGCCUAAAGACCUUUCCGCAUUCUGGAUCUUCAAAGAGAGCUCUCUUUUGUGCUGGAGAAUACAUGGCGUCAAACGGUGCUAACAUUCCUCUUCCAUUGUACAACCCUUGGGCUUCCUCAAUUGAGUAUCCCAUUGCUUGCAUCAUUCGAAGAGCUUUCGAAUCGUAUAUCUUAAGCCCCUUUCUAUUAGUAAAGCUCCUUUGUGUCAGCUAACUUCCCAUCUCCUUUAGCUCUUGGUUUUGGCCCAAGCAUUUCCAAGUGAUGCAUCCGGAUGGUUUUAGGAUGAUGAUCAUGUUUCGGGGGGAUGAGGAAUUUUUGAAGUUCUUUUUAUUUUUUUGCAUUAAAGUACGCUCAAUCCACUUAUCUCCCUUUUGAAUAUGGCCCUAUCGACUCAGAUAUCCCCCCCUAUCCUUUAAAGCGAAGUGGAACUCUCAUCUUGAAUUGGCAUAAGGGCUGGCUCACCAUCCUUCCUGUGACUUUUUGGGACGAAACGGAAAGCAGGCUUUUUGGGGGCCUUCUUCGUAUCAGGAGUUUUUUUGCUUAAUCUUCAACUUUUCGAACUUCUUCACCUAUUUCAUAGCCUCUCUUCUGAUGGCAUCAUAGGGGUCGAU